CCUACGGGUGGCUGCAGUGAGGAAUAUUGGUCAAUGGGCGAGAGCCUGAACCAGCCAAGUCGCGUGAGGGAAGACGGUCCUAUGGAUUGUAAACCUCUUUUGUCGGGGAGCAAAAAGGCCUCGUGAGGCCACAAGUGAGAGUACCCGAAGAAAAAGCAUCGGCUAACUCCGUGCCAGCAGCCGCGGUAAUACGGAGGGUGCAAGCGUUGUCCGGAAUCAUUGGGCGUAAAGAGUUCGUAGGCGGCAUGUAAAGUCAGGUGUUAAAGGCGCAGGCUCAACCUGUGUAUGGCACUUGAUACUUGCAAGCUGGAAUGCGGUAGAGGUAAAGGGAAUGCCUGGUGUAGCGGUGAAAUGCUUAGAUAUCAGGAGGAACAUCGGUGGCGUAAGCGCUUUACUGGGCCGUAAUUGACGCUGAGGAACGAAAGCCAGGGUAGCAAAUGGGAUUAGAUACCCCAGUAGUC
RNAcentral lists this ribosomal RNA (461 nucleotides) under uncultured bacterium. RNAcentral describes it as "partial 16S ribosomal RNA". It matches the Rfam family "Bacterial small subunit ribosomal RNA", at positions 338 to 795 of the family's 1533-position model. The record is from RNAcentral.